This 253-nucleotide ribosomal RNA is filed under the name uncultured Acidobacteriota bacterium. RNAcentral's name for it is "uncultured Acidobacteria bacterium partial 16S ribosomal RNA". It matches the Rfam family "Bacterial small subunit ribosomal RNA", at positions 524 to 776 of the family's 1533-position model. Lineage: Bacteria; Pseudomonadati; Acidobacteriota. The record is from RNAcentral.
UAUGGGGGGGGCAAGCGUUGUUCGGAAUUACUGGGCGUAAAGGGCGUGUAGGUGGCCAACUAAGUCAGACGUGAAAUCCCUCGGCUUAACCGGGGAACUGCGUCUGAUACUGGAUGGCUUGAGUUUGGGAGAGGGAUGCGGAAUUCCAGGUGUAGCGGUGAAAUGCGUAGAUAUCUGGAGGAACACCGGUGGCGAAGGCGGCAUCCUGGACCAAUACUGACACUAAAGCGCGAAAGCCAGGGGAGCAAACGGG